RNA transcript from Biomphalaria glabrata, 1520 nucleotides. RefSeq lists it as uncharacterized. The transcript is spliced from 5 exons. NCBI's taxonomy places the organism in Eukaryota, Metazoa, Mollusca, Gastropoda, Planorbidae. The record is from RefSeq and is a predicted model, not a curated record.
UUACAACUGUUCAUUUCAAAUAAUUGUUUCACACUGAUUAGAUAGUGCACCCUUUGCUUUAUUUAAUUAUUUCUUUUUUUUUUCCAUAAUAGUCAUCUUAACUUACUUUAUGAUCAAUUAUUGUCAUUGUGUUUAUGCAAUGUAUUGAGCUUUUCUUAAAAAAAACAAAAAAAAAAAACUGACUAAGCACAUUGAUUGUUUUAGGUCUACGAACAUUGUCCAAGAGAGGUGUGAUAAUCUUUCCAAUAGGAUUUGCAUCUUUUAGAAUGUAGUUCCAGGUUAUUAGUGCAUAGAACUUUUAUGUUUAUUAAACUAUCCCUUGCUGUUGUAAGUGGCAUUCUCAAUUCAAACAAUCCUACAUGAUAUAUCGGCAUGAGACGGUACUUCCCAAGACAACUUUACACAAUCGAUUUUCUUUUCUUUUUAUUACACUUUGAAGGUAAUUUUAUACAUUUCUAGCACACACUUAUGUGAUUUAUUUUUAGAAAACUUAUUUCAGCUCACUCCAUCUGUCUGUUUAUUUUUGUACGAAUAAUUUCUCCCACUUCCUGGUCUCGGGUGAAGUUGAAAAAGUACACUAUUCAUUAUUCUAAAUAAAUAUUGAUUCAAUUCAAAAUAAAAAGGCAAUUAAUUAGUAAGUGGCUAUUAACUAAUGUAGCUUAAUAUACAAAAGAGAAGUAAAUAUUACAAUUUUGAGAUAUAUGGCUGUUAGUGUAAAGUUAUUUCCAUUAUGUACUUUUGUAUAAUAGGUAUCUUUAUAUUGUACUUGUUUUUAAAUUACAUUUACAUAAUUAUUGUUCGUUUUUUUUUUUAGUUUCACUUGCAUGGAUCGAACUUCCAAAGUCAAGUAAUGUUCAAUGAAACUUCGCUACCAACUCCGAGCGUUGACCUAGAGAUCCACGUCGUACACGGGGGGAUGAUUUCAGACCCUGCUGACCUUAUUCUUAUAAAGACCAUCAUCCGGAAGAAAUCUAUAAUAAGGUUGAAGUACCUUCGGUAGAAGAACAAACUUACCACCAGUUACCGUUCAGUGCAAAAGAGAAAGAUUUAAACUCUAAGGCAGAUAAUAAACGCAGUACGAUAAAAGGAAAUCACAAACGACUAAAAUACCUAGAUACCAGAAAAAUUCAAGACUCGCUCGUAUCACAUCCACCAGUUUUGAACGUUUAUGUGAAUUCAAAAGACUUAGAAUCUGAGAGAAGAAAUACUUCGCCUGUAGAAUUGAAAGAGAAGGGGCAAAGAGACAUUAAUAAUGUUUAUAGCAGCCUUGAAAAUCAACCACUUGACAAUCGCACGUAUGAAGCUCUUAAGCCAAGACAUUUGUAGUAUAUAAGUUUAAUUUGAAAAAAAGACAAAGAUGAAAUCAUCGAUAUCUCAUGGAUGUUGCCUUGAUGGUCUAACGUACUACAAGACAGACGAAGUCGUGUCCGUCAAAUAUAUUUCAGCCUUAAUAUUUUACAACAAUCAGGCUAUAAUGUUCAAGAGAUCUGGUGGAAUGAUCAUUUAUUAACUUUUAUACA